GGGUCGAUGCCCGAGUGGUUAAUGGGGACGGACUGUAAAUUUGUUGCCAAUGUCUACACUGGUUCAAAUCAAGCCCGACCCA
This 82-nucleotide transfer RNA is filed under the name Hordeum vulgare. RNAcentral describes it as "tRNA-OTHER". It matches the Rfam family "tRNA". From Rfam's summary of the family: Transfer RNA (tRNA) molecules are approximately 80 nucleotides in length. The record is from RNAcentral. RNAcentral also lists the same sequence under 1 other name. Lineage: Eukaryota; Viridiplantae; Streptophyta; Magnoliopsida; Poales; Poaceae.